GGGGGCGAAGAGGGCUCGACGGGGAUAGGUAGGGUUAAACUGCAGGCCGUGGUCGCACCCCCCACGUUAAAUAGGGUGCAAAAACACAACUGCCGACGAAUACUCCUACGCUUUGGCAGCUUAAUAGAAAAAGCUGCCACGCAUCUUUAGACCUUGCCUGUGGGUCUAAAGGUGUGUGACCUAAACAGGCUUUGGCUAAAGGAAUUGGUAGGGUUCCUUUAGCCGAGAAAAAAACCUACCUGGUAGAAAGCUUAGGUGCCUGUGCCUGGCUUUCUACGAGAAAUCAAAACACAGGCUAAGCCUGUAGAAGUUUAACCUGAACUAUCUCCGGACGCGGGUUCAAUUCCCGCCGCCUCCACCA
Thermodesulfobacterium geofontis OPF15 is the source of this 361-nucleotide non-coding RNA. It matches the Rfam family "transfer-messenger RNA". From Rfam's summary of the family: Bacterial tmRNA, also known as 10Sa RNA or SsrA, is named for its dual tRNA and mRNA-like properties. Its role is to liberate the mRNA from a stalled ribosome. NCBI's taxonomy places the organism in Bacteria, Pseudomonadati, Thermodesulfobacteriota, Thermodesulfobacteria, Thermodesulfobacteriales, Thermodesulfobacteriaceae. The record is from Rfam.